This 639-nucleotide ribosomal RNA is filed under the name Triticum aestivum (bread wheat). RNAcentral describes it as "partial small subunit ribosomal RNA". Lineage: Eukaryota; Viridiplantae; Streptophyta; Magnoliopsida; Poales; Poaceae. The record is from RNAcentral.
AUGCUCAUCCACAAGGAGGUUCUCCGGCUUGAGGUCCCGGUGAUAGACAUCACGGCUGUGGCAAAAGUCCACAGCCCCUAUCAACUGUUGAAAGUACUUCCUUGCAGCAUCUUCCUUGAGCCGGCCCUUGGCCACCCUGGCAAAGAGCUCGCCGCCCCGGACAUACUCCAUGGCAAAGUAUAUCUUGGUCUUGCUGGCCAUGACCUCGUGCAGCUGGACGAUGUUUGGGUGGCGAACCAGGCGCAUGAUGGAGAUCUCCCGCUUGAUCUGGUCAAUCAUGCCGACACGCAGCACCUUCUCCUUGUCAAUGACCUUGAUGGCGACGCUCUGGUUGGUCGCAAGGCUCCGCGCAUGGUACACCUUGGCGAAGGUGCCUUGCCCGAGCAUACGACCAAGCUCGUACCGGUUCAUGAGAAUGGCGGACUUCCUCUCCAUCCUAUCGGAUCCUUGUGCACAAGAGCAGCAGCAAGCUGGGUGGAGGUAAAAUUGGGUGUUCACAAGCGUCUACUCUGCGCCACUUCGUGCCUCUGUGUCCCUCCCUCCCCGAGAGGGAGGAGAGGUGAAGGGCGAGAGCGCGCUGUGAUUGGGGGGAAAACUAAUACACGACUGGUCUGUUUUCUCAGAAUCCUCCAAGGAUGA